AUUGAACGCUGGCGGCAUGCCUUACACAUGCAAGUCGAACGGUAACGCGGGGCAACCUGGCGACGAGUGGCGAACGGGUGAGUAAUGCAUCGGAACGUGCCCAGUAGUGGGGGAUAGCCCGGCGAAAGCCGGAUUAAUACCGCAUACGACCUACGGGUGAAAGGGGGGGAUCGCAAGACCUCUCGCUACUGGAGCGGCCGAUGUCAGAUUAGGUAGGUGGUGGGGUAAAGGCCCACCAAGCCGACGAUCUGUAGCUGGUCUGAGAGGACGACCAGCCACACUGGGACUGAGACACGGCCCAGACUCCUACGGGAGGCAGCAGUGGGGAAUUUUGGACAAUGGGCGCAAGCCUGAUCCAGCCAUGCCGCGUGCGGGAAGAAGGCCUUCGGGUUGUAAACCGCUUUUGUCAGGGAAGAAAUCUUUUGAGUUAAUACCUCGGAAGGAUGACGGUACCUGAAGAAUAAGCACCGGCUAACUACGUGCCAGCCGCCGCCGUAA
RNAcentral lists this ribosomal RNA (498 nucleotides) under uncultured bacterium. RNAcentral's name for it is "partial 16S ribosomal RNA". It matches the Rfam family "Bacterial small subunit ribosomal RNA", at positions 29 to 523 of the family's 1533-position model. The record is from RNAcentral.